RNAcentral lists this unclassified non-coding RNA (2722 nucleotides) under Hevea brasiliensis (rubber tree). Lineage: Eukaryota; Viridiplantae; Streptophyta; Magnoliopsida; Malpighiales; Euphorbiaceae. The record is from RNAcentral.
CGCACCCAAAAGCUUACGGCAGCGGCAGCAAGCAAUAGCCAAAUCCAUCUCCAUGUACAUAUAUUUGAUUGUAUGAAUACACCUACAUGAGGAGGUAAUACAUUGCUGGUGUCGUCAUUAACAGGUUCAAAGAAUUUCGUGCGAACAAAAAGCUGAAACUAUCUUUUUCUUUUUGCAACUCUCCGGUUGAAUUGAAUAUCCAGUGUAUCAACAAUUUUUUCUCAAAAAACUUGCGUCCAAGCUUUUUAAUGCAUUAUCAGUAGCAUUUUCCAAAAAAAGAGUCGUAAUCCAAUGCAGAUCACUUAAUUCAAAGAAAACCAUCAACUAGUGGACACGUUUUCUGGUCACAAUUGAAUAGCACAUGGAAAUACAGCGUAUUGCGCAAUAAGCUCUCACGUAUAGGACUUCAUUAACCAGUAGAAACUGUUAACACUGGCUUAAUUACCCAAUUACUAUCCUUACAACAACAGAUGUCAUCCCCUGCACCGCUAAACCCAUCGGUAUAAGCCGAUGCUUAUGACUCCACAAACAAGCGCCGCAAUAUGUACACUCAGCGGAUGUGAAGUUAAUUGGGUCACAGCGAUCGCAGAACCAUGGCAAAAAUUGAUGAAUAUCAACAAAAGUUCUUAAUUUAUUCUUCAAUUUCCAAACCAAAGUGUUCCCUCAGGAUCCUCUUGGAGGUCCUUCCAAAUCCCUUGGCCACUUCUUCCAUAUCCUUGAGUUUAGCGACUUCCUGUUUUAUCUGAUCCACCCUGUUUAAGACAGCAUUCAGCAAGACCUCCUUGUUGGUACUGGACGUGCCGCAUAUCCAUUCAGACCUUUCCCUUUCAAGUUGCUGAUAGAGAUUAUGAAGAUACUCCUUUUGAGCAUAAAGUUGUUCCUCUGCAAUUUUGUAUUCAGAUGCCUGAGACUUUUGUAGUUCAUGGAGAGCCUUAUCAAUCUCAUCCUCCAGUUUUAGAACUUCAGCCCGGUAAUCAGAAGACAUAGAUAAAGUAUCAGGCAAUUUUAUAAUAGUGUCUAAUUCUUGAUUAUUAGUAACUUCCACCAUCACAUCAGGAGAGACACCUGUGGAAAUAGCUGAGACAUCCUCUUUGGCUUUCCAUAUAUCCUCAAGAAUGGUCCCGCAUUUAAGCUGAUGUCAAUACCAGAUCAGUAAACUGCUAGCUUUAUCAACUCCAAAGGGAAACAGGAAUAAAUUUCCUCAUAAAAAUUCCAUCAUUCGAAUACCUAGAGUACAACAGCUUUACCUUUGCAAUGGCUGAUUCAAUUUGGUUCAGCAGUCCCUUUGUUCUGCUUUUCUGGGACCCACGUAAAAUGCAAAUGCCAACAGUUAAUAUUUUUUCUACUUCUUCACAAGAAUCAACAGAUUUGCAGGUUUGCAAAAGACUCAUGACAUGUGGAACCAAAUCUUUCUUUGCAUCACAACGGCGGCAGUAAUACUCAACAUCUAGGCCAAUGCUUCCACCAACUGUCCCAGCCAUGUAUGUCCGAAGAGCGCAAUCAAUGUGAGCAACAUGGCCACACAUAUAACCCUCACUGACAAAAGCCUCACAUUUUAUGUAACUGUAGCCUCCAUACUUUGCAUUUAUGGUCUUGCAACACAAAAUACAACAACAAUCACGGCAGAAAUGAGGUUCACUGCAACAAAUGUCACAAGGCAUGGCAGCUAUAGAUAGAUUUUCUACUUGUACCAUGAGACUAUUGCACCUCUUAUUUCCAGCCUUACAUCUUGCACCAUCAGACUGGGAAUCAGACUCAGAAUUUUCAGCCGUUUCUUCAAAAGGUAAACAAGUUUGCCCCUCUAAAUUACCAUUUGUUGGCGCCAUCUUUGAAGGUAUCCUCCAGCUGAAUGAAGCAAAAAACUCUUCAACAUUUGCAUCAGGGAAUUUUGAUCGGAUAUAGCGUUCAACUGAAAGCUUGCUUGCAAAUCCACGUUUCUUACCUGGCGUAUUCUCAAGACGACCAAGACGGCGUGGAAGGUACAAGUACCUAUCCAAGAAAUGGCCAUUAAAGGCAACUCGUCUUCCUACUCUCCAACUCCAAAUGUCACCAGGUUUUGGCCAAUCCACAGGAGCAUAUGGCAAACCUUCACCAGACUCCUCAGGUGCAACUGGCCUUAGAUGGGAACCAUUUUCCCUUAUCUUUGGUAUACUUCCAUUACUUUCCUUAUCAAUUUCCAUAAAUUCCAUUCUAAGCUUACGGGUUGCUGGGCAACUGAUCACGCUCACGCCAAGAAGACUCGGAAGAGAGAUUAGAGUUCCAACUUCCUCUGGAUCAGCUAUCUGAUAAUAUAGAGAUCGAAUUCAAAGAGAAGGGAAAUAGGAAACGAGUUUUCGGAAACACAACCAAAAUCAACUGUGCCAGAGAGAAAUUUCCAACUAAAGAAGAGGGUCUGAUUCUCGAAUUCUUUAACUAAAUCAAUCAAACGAUUCCAUGAAGCUCCGGUCUUUACUUUACAUUCAGACCUCGGUAACUCAGAGUUUCUCUAUAAAGAAUUGGAGAAGAAGUGAGGGCUUGAAUUCGGCGCUUCGAGAAAACAAAUUUUGGAAAACGAAAAAUGAUUCGAGAGGAGGGGGGAAAUUCAAUUUAAAGACACUUUAAUUCCUAAACUACCUCACGAAAACACAGAAAUGAUGCGCCAAUGAAAAACCCUAACCAACUGACAACAAGGAGAGAGACAACAACAAUGGCACCGCUCACCGUUCCCCAGCGCUUGCAUUCG